CGAUCGCCACCCAACUCGGCCGCCAACAACGCCGGAAACGGCCGGAAACACGCCUGGAAGCCGCUGCCUUCGCGCUCUUCCGCCGCCGCUGGAGCUGCUGCUGCCGCCGCCGCUGCGCUCGCCAACGCACGCCGCUCCGUCGGCCAGCGCUCCGCGCCCCCGACGGUUGCCACCGACGCCUGCAGCGUCCCCUUCUCUCUCUUCCCGGCGCCGCACUCUCUCUCUCUCUC
This 230-nucleotide long non-coding RNA is filed under the name Ricinus communis (castor bean). Its description in RNAcentral is "long non-coding RNA (RCOM_LNC001449)". Lineage: Eukaryota; Viridiplantae; Streptophyta; Magnoliopsida; Malpighiales; Euphorbiaceae. The record is from RNAcentral.